This 330-nucleotide ribosomal RNA is filed under the name Gloeocapsa sp. Ind57. RNAcentral describes it as "bacterial SSU rRNA". It matches the Rfam family "Bacterial small subunit ribosomal RNA", at positions 678 to 995 of the family's 1533-position model. Lineage: Bacteria; Bacillati; Cyanobacteriota; Cyanophyceae; Chroococcidiopsidales; Chroococcidiopsidaceae. The record is from RNAcentral.
GAGGUGAAAUGCGUAGAGAUUGGGAAGAACACCAGGUGGCGAAGGCGCUCUACUGGGCCGGUACUGACACUCAGGCGACGAAAGCUAGGGGAGCGAAAGGGAUUAGAUAUCCCCUGUAGUCCUAGCCGUAAACGAUGGGAUACUAGGCGUAGCUUGUAUCGACCGCAAGCUGUGCCGUAGCUAAACGCGUUAAGUAUCCCGCCUGGGGAGUACGCAACGCAAGUGUGAAACUCAUAAGGAAUUGACGGGGGCCCGCAACAAGCGGUGGAGUAUGUGGUUCUAAUUCGAUGCAACGCGAAGAACCUUACUCAGGACUUGACAUGGGCGCGA